Molecule: ribosomal RNA, 253 nt
Filed under: uncultured bacterium
Lineage: Bacteria
Description: partial 16S ribosomal RNA
Rfam family: Bacterial small subunit ribosomal RNA
Source: RNAcentral
UACGGAGGGUGCAAACGUUGCUCGGAAUUAUUGGGCGUAAAGCGCACGUAGGCGGACCAUCAAGUCGGAUGUGAAAUCCCUCGGCUUAACCGAGGACGUGCAUUCGAAACUGAUGGCCUUGAGUACGAAAGAGGAUCGCGGAAUUCCCGGUGUAGAGGUGAAAUUCGUAGAUAUCGGCAGGAACACCAGUGGCGAAGGCGGCGAUCUGGGUCGAUACUGACGCUGAGGUGCGAAAGCGUGGGGAGCAAACAGG